This is a long non-coding RNA of Saccostrea cuccullata (small rock oyster), 1692 nucleotides long. RefSeq lists it as uncharacterized. The record is from RefSeq and is a predicted model, not a curated record. The transcript has 2 exons. NCBI's taxonomy places the organism in Eukaryota, Metazoa, Mollusca, Bivalvia, Ostreida, Ostreidae.
AGUGGACAAGAAAACCGGAGCACAAGUCAAUUAAACAAUAUGGGCAGAUAGCAAGAGAGAUCCUACUGACCCCCCUCCUGGAGAUCAUAACCCACAAAUUUCUCGCAAAACUAUUGUCCGGGUGACUACAAAAGAUGCCACAGACGGGAGGCUUCCUUCUGCACCUGACCCAGCCCUUCAGGAGAUAUCCUUUAACGCGGCCCAGCAGAUACGGGCUCAUCCUGAGGAGGACCCGGCCUUCCUCUCCCCCUCCAAACCCGUCCGACCGGUCACGUCAAACGGCCUACGUACCAUGUACGCCUCAGAAACACCAGAGAGGGAGAAUGCUGCAUUUUAUUCCAAUAUUCAGCCUCCUGCAGUAAUGGAGACACCAAAGACUUCAGUGAUGCGUGAUGCCCCUGUUAAAAGCCAUGCAAUACGUGACAAAGUGACAGUCAGUAGAGAAGAGGAGGAAAUAUAACCCAUUCUGUGUGAAGUAGAAAAUAGAACUGAUUGCAGCUUUUAUAUGAAAUUUUUAGUUUUUUAAAAAGAUUAACUUUUUAAGAGCAUUGUUUAUAUUGAAUAUUUUUAAAUUAUAUUGGUCAAAGACCAGAAAAGCUACCAAUUGUAGGGGGUCUGUUGUCUUUCUUUAAGAUGUUUUACAAAACACUAUUUAUUCUGUAGAAGGAUUUACAAGUUUAAAUAAUACAGUUGAACUCUGAUACAUGUAUUUGAAUUCCAUGGAUAUGUUGAUUCGAGUUGGAAGUCCCAACUUCUCCUUUGCUUUGUGUUUUAACCUUCAUAUCUCGAAUCCUCCCAUUCCUGGCCGGGUCCCUUUGUGUUCAUGACAGCGAGGUUAACUGUUUAUAAUUCUCAUCUUACAUUGUAACUGUCCAGGAAAAGUUUGGAAUCUUUCAGAAUGCUGCUCUUGCUAGUUUUGGUCUGAUUUUAAUAAAACACGUUACAAGUAGACCAAAGCAAGUUUUUGGAUAAUUUGUUGUACUGUAAAUUCCUUAUUUUUCGCGAGUACUUUUUAUCAUGUACUGGCUCUUCAACGUCAAAUUGCGGAAUAAUAAUCUGCAAAUGGACAGUUGAUCAAUAGAUUUUAAAUGGAUUUCAUCACCCUAAAAAUAAAAGCGAGCAAUAUUAUUUUGCGAGUGAUGCUUCUUGCGAAAUUACGCGGAAAUUGAUUCCUCGCAUAUAAUUAGGAGUCGACAGUAUAUCAGAUUUGGAUUUUGAUGCUCAAUGUGCCAUUGUUACUAUGUAUACAGCAAGUGAAUAUGUGGAGUCAUUUUGUUUCUUCCACUGCUUUAUAAAGAUUUUGGUGAAUGUACAUGUACUUAUCACCCUAGCAUAAGUUCAGAAAUGAUUAGGGUACAUACCUAUUAGAUUUGUAGACUUUCAGUACAUUUGGUCCUCUCUUCUUCUUCAAGUCAAAACCAGUAGAGCUUUAGUCACAUCAUAUACAUCUAGAUUCUUUCAUUUUAUGCAUUUUACAUAUGUUUAUAGUAUACAUCAUAUUUUAUACUUUUUUUUUUAUUUUAAAGAAAUCUUAGCAGGCAUUUGAGUAUCAAGCAAAAAAUAAUAUCCUUUGCCUAACCUUGUAGAUUCUGCACAUAUGAAAUAUUCUUUACCAGGUGUUGAAAUCGUAGAAAUUUCUUGUCGAGUCAGACUUUGUAGUUGUAAAUGCAAUAUACUCGUACAUGUACAGUU